Long non-coding RNA from Sinocyclocheilus grahami, 90 nucleotides. RefSeq lists it as uncharacterized. The record is from RefSeq and is a predicted model, not a curated record. NCBI's taxonomy places the organism in Eukaryota, Metazoa, Chordata, Actinopteri, Cypriniformes, Cyprinidae. The transcript has 3 exons.
CCAUUCACGAAUCCUGCGAGCACUUCUGCUCUGACAUACCUACAAAAUAAUAAAAAUGGACUUGCAUAACAACCCAUCGGAAGAUCACAC